UACGUGGCUCAAUAGGGUAAAUUGCUUACAUAGUAAAACCUGGCCAGCUGAAAUUACAGCUCAGACCUAUGCUCAAAGAAAGCUGCUUAGCAGCUACUUAAGUGUCGAUCUCUCAAAGACCUUUUUAUGCAUGAAAGCCAACACCUUAGGCUAACACCUCAAGCAAGAAUCACCCAAAAACUCCAAGAAACCGACCUUGCCCAGAAGAGGUUUCCCUCCCCUGGGGGUACCGCCAGAACAGACUAUAAAAGCCUGUUCUGGUUUUCAUCUCUUUUCUCUUAUUUCUUCCUCUUGGACACCCACUUUUAUUUACAUUAACUCUUCUAGACAUCCAUACAAAGUAGUUCAAGCUUUAGUUCCAAUCUUUAGACCUUAAACUCAUAUAGAAAACCUUGCUGAAAGAUCACAUAAGUUGCUGUAAGUUCAACAGUUUACACCUCUUGUAUUUAAGCUUAGUUUUUCAUAUCUAUAAGCUUGUUGAAACUAAUCUUUAGCAUUUUAUACAUUCAGGGGAAGCUGUAGGAGUAGUUAACCAAUUGGAUUAAGGAGUUUCGUGGCUUUAAGCAUCCUUAGUAAAGAGUGAAAUAUUGUUGCAGGUUUGGUGUUGUGAGCUCAGGAUUCUGAAGUGAAGCAAGAUAAAGAUGUCGUCGUAGCUUAUGGAUUGAGUUUGUAUCUAGAUAGUGUAUUUGAGAUUAGAUAUUUAUAUUUUCUUGUAUACAAUAUUUGGGAAUAUUAGUCGAGAUAUCGGUGUAAUUGAAGUCUUAUAUAAAGGAUUUUGUUUUGUGGGCCAAUAACCCACAGGUUCA
Molecule: long non-coding RNA, 806 nt
Organism: Beta vulgaris subsp. vulgaris (sugar beet)
Lineage: Eukaryota; Viridiplantae; Streptophyta; Magnoliopsida; Caryophyllales; Amaranthaceae
Exons: 2
Source: RefSeq, a predicted model, not a curated record